Molecule: unclassified non-coding RNA, 356 nt
Filed under: Ramicandelaber taiwanensis
Lineage: Eukaryota; Fungi; Kickxellomycota; Ramicandelaberales; Ramicandelaberaceae
Description: partial internal transcribed spacer region
Rfam family: Eukaryotic small subunit ribosomal RNA (bases 1-46)
Source: RNAcentral
AAGUCGUAACAAGGUAUCCGUAGGUGAACCUGCGGAUGGAUCAUUACCAAUUUAUAUUAUUAGUGUUGUGCCUGCAACUUUUUGUUGUGGGUAUCAACUACUAUUAUGUAAACGUUGAACUAGAUCAAUUGGUGUGGAUUGCUUGGGAAUGGACGAAGCGACAAGCCUCUUCCGGACAGGCAAACCCCACACUGAUAACCCUUUUCAAUAUAUACUAUACUUACUAGUACAUACUACAAACAAACAAACAAACAAACAAAAAGCUAUAAUAGGACUUAUAAACAGGCUGAGUGGGUAAAAUCCUCGGCUUAUCAAUAUAACUAUUACAACUUUCAGCAAUGGAUCUCUAGGCUCUC